This 206-nucleotide ribosomal RNA is filed under the name uncultured bacterium. Its description in RNAcentral is "partial 16S ribosomal RNA". It matches the Rfam family "Bacterial small subunit ribosomal RNA", at positions 568 to 774 of the family's 1533-position model. The record is from RNAcentral.
CGUGUAGGCGGCUAUGCAAGUCGGAUGUGAAAGCCCUCGGCUCAACCGGGGAAGUGCACCCGAAACUGCAAAGCUAGAGUCUCGGAGAGGAUCGUGGAAUUCUCGGUGUAGAGGUGAAAUUCGUAGAUAUCGAGAGGAACACCGGUGGCGAAGGCGGCGAUCUGGACGAUGACUGACGCUGAGAGCGAAAGCGUGGGGAGCAAACA